UGUGAGAGCGGGCUUGCUCGCGAAGGCGAAGUGUCAGUCGACUUGUUAUUAGCUGAUACACCGCCUUCGCGGGCAAGCCCGCUCCCACA
RNAcentral lists this non-coding RNA (89 nucleotides) under Pseudomonas lurida. Lineage: Bacteria; Pseudomonadati; Pseudomonadota; Gammaproteobacteria; Pseudomonadales; Pseudomonadaceae. The record is from RNAcentral.